Molecule: ribosomal RNA, 200 nt
Filed under: uncultured bacterium
Lineage: Bacteria
Description: partial 16S ribosomal RNA
Rfam family: Bacterial small subunit ribosomal RNA
Source: RNAcentral
ACGCUCGACACCUACGGAGGCAGCAGUCGGGAAUAUUGCGCAAUGGAGGAAACUCUGACGCAGUGACGCCGCGUGCAGGAAGAAGGUUUUCGGAUUGUAAACUGCUUUAGACAGGGAAGAAAGAAAUGACAGUACCUGUAGAAUAAGCUCCGGCUAACUACGUACCAGCAGCCGCGGUAAUCUGAGCGGGCUGGCAAGGC